Molecule: ribosomal RNA, 442 nt
Filed under: uncultured bacterium
Lineage: Bacteria
Description: partial 16S ribosomal RNA
Rfam family: Bacterial small subunit ribosomal RNA
Source: RNAcentral
CCUACGGGCGGCAGCAGUGGGGAAUAUUGGGCAAUGGACGCAAGUCUGACCCAGCAACGCCGCGUGAAGGAAGAAGGCUCUCGGGUUGUAAACUUCUUUUAAGGGGGAAGAGCAGAAGACGGUACCCCUUGAAUAAGCCAUGGCUAACUACGUGCCAGCAGCCGCGGUAAUACGUAGGUGGCCAGUGUUGCCCGGAUUUACUGGGUGUAACGGGCGUGCAGCCGGGAAGACAAGUCAGAUGUGAAAUCCCGCGGCUCAACCGCGGAACUGCAUUUGAAACUGGUUGUCUUGAGUAUCGGAGAGGUAAGCGGAAUUCCUAGUGUAGCGGUGAAAUGCGUAGAUAUUAGGAAGAACACCAGUGGCGAAGGCAGAUUACUGGACGGCAACUGACGGUGAGGCGCGAAAGCGUGGGGAGCAAACAGGAUUAGAUACCCCAGUAGUC